UAGCUCAGCUGGUUAGAGCGCAUGAUUCAUAAUCAUGAGGUCCCCGGUUCAAUCCCGG
RNAcentral lists this transfer RNA (58 nucleotides) under Bacteroides caccae. RNAcentral's name for it is "tRNA-Met". It matches the Rfam family "tRNA", at positions 8 to 62 of the family's 71-position model. Rfam says of the family: Transfer RNA (tRNA) molecules are approximately 80 nucleotides in length. The record is from RNAcentral. Lineage: Bacteria; Pseudomonadati; Bacteroidota; Bacteroidia; Bacteroidales; Bacteroidaceae.